CCAACGGCCUUUCUAAAGGCCACCACAUAUUCAAAGAGCCAAUACUU
Molecule: regulatory RNA element, 47 nt
Organism: Orchesella cincta
Lineage: Eukaryota; Metazoa; Arthropoda; Collembola; Entomobryomorpha; Orchesellidae
Rfam family: Histone 3' UTR stem-loop
About the family: The mRNAs of metazoan histone genes lack a poly-A tail.
Source: Rfam